RNAcentral lists this ribosomal RNA (494 nucleotides) under uncultured bacterium. Its description in RNAcentral is "bacterial SSU rRNA". It matches the Rfam family "Bacterial small subunit ribosomal RNA", at positions 29 to 518 of the family's 1533-position model. The record is from RNAcentral.
AUGAACGCUAGCGACAGGCCUAACACAUGCAAGUCAGGGGCAGCACAGGAGCAAUCUGAGGUGGCGACCGGCGCACGGGUGAGUAACACGUAUGCAACCUGCCUGUAAGCGGGGAAUAACCCGUUGAAAGACGGACUAAUACCGCAUAAUACUAAAUUACUGCAUGGUAAUUUAUUUAAACAUUUAUGGCUUACAGAUGGGCAUGCGCAUGAUUAGCUAGUUGGAGAGGUAACGGCUCCCCAAGGCAACGAUCAUUAGGGGUUCUGAGAGGAAGGUCCCCCCACACUGGUACUGAGACACGGACCAGACUCCUACGGGAGGCAGCAGUGAGGAAUAUUGGUCAAUGGACGAGAGUCUGAACCAGCCAAGUCGCGUGCAGGAAGAAUUGUCCUAUGGAUUGUAAACUGCUUUUGCAGGGGAAUAAAGUGCAUCACGUGUGAUGUUUUGUAUGUACUCUGCGAAUAAGGAUCGGCUAACUCCGUGCCAGCCGCGGC